Molecule: ribosomal RNA, 301 nt
Filed under: uncultured bacterium
Lineage: Bacteria
Description: partial 16S ribosomal RNA
Rfam family: Bacterial small subunit ribosomal RNA
Source: RNAcentral
CAGCAGCCGCGGUAAUACGGAGGGAGCUAGCGUUGUUCGGAAUUACUGGGCGUAGAGCGCACGUAGGCGGCUUUGUAAGUUAGAGGUGAAAGCCUGGAGCUCAACUCCAGAAUUGCCUUUAAGACUGCCGAGCUAGCAGGUGAGAGAGGUAAGUGGAAUUCCGAGUGUAGAGGUGAAAUUCGUAGAUAUUCGGAAGAACACCAGUGGCGAAGGGGGCUUACUGGCUCAUACUGGACGCUGAGGCGCGAAAGCGUGGGGAGCAAACAGGAUUAGAUACCCCCGUAGUCCCUGUCUCUUAUAA